RNAcentral lists this ribosomal RNA (468 nucleotides) under uncultured bacterium. RNAcentral describes it as "partial 16S ribosomal RNA". It matches the Rfam family "Bacterial small subunit ribosomal RNA", at positions 28 to 507 of the family's 1533-position model. The record is from RNAcentral.
GACGAACGCUGGCGGCGUGCUUAACACAUGCAAGUCGAACGGAAAGGCCCUGCUUUUGUGGGGUGCUCGAGUGGCGAACGGGUGAGUAACACGUGAGUAACCUGCCCUUGACUUUGGGAUAACUUCAGGAAACUGGGGCUAAUACCGGAUAGGAGCUCCUGCUGCAUGGUGGGGGUUGGAAAGUUUCGGCGGUUGGGGAUGGACUCGCGGCUUAUCAGCUUGUUGGUGGGGUAGUGGCUUACCAAGGCUUUGACGGGUAGCCGGCCUGAGAGGGUGACCGGCCACAUUGGGACGGGGAUACGGCCCAGACUCCUACGGGAGGCAGCAGGGGGGAAUAUUGCACAAUGGGCGGAAGCCUGAUGCAGCAACGCCGCGUGCGGGAUGACGGCCUUCGGGUUGUAAACCGCUUUCGCCUGUGACGAAGCGUGAGUGACGGUAAUGGGUAAAGAAGCACCGGCUAACUACGUG